GAUGAACGCUGGCGGCGUGCCUAAUACAUGCAAGUCGAGCGAACAGACGAGGAGCUUGCUCCUCUGACGUUAGCGGCGGACGGGUGAGUAACACGUGGAUAACCUACCUAUAAGACUGGGAUAACUUCGGGAAACCGGAGCUAAUACCGGAUAAUAUAUUGAACCGCAUGGUUCAAUAGUGAAAGACGGUUUUGCUGUCACUUAUAGAUGGAUCCGCGCCGCAUUAGCUAGUUGGUAAGGUAACGGCUUACCAAGGCAACGAUGCGUAGCCGACCUGAGAGGGUGAUCGGCCACACUGGAACUGGGACACGGUCCAGAGUCCUACGGGAGGCAGCAGUAGGGAAUGUGCCGCAAUGGGCGGAAGCUUGACGGAGCAACGCCGCGUGAGUGAUGAAGGUCUUCGGAUCGUAAAACUCUGUUAUUAGGGAAGAACAAAUGUGUAAGUAACUAUGCACGUCUUGACGGUACCGAAUCAGAAAGCCACGGCUAACUACGUG
Molecule: ribosomal RNA, 497 nt
Filed under: uncultured bacterium
Lineage: Bacteria
Description: partial 16S ribosomal RNA
Rfam family: Bacterial small subunit ribosomal RNA
Source: RNAcentral